This 73-nucleotide transfer RNA is filed under the name Dysalotus alcocki. Its description in RNAcentral is "tRNA-Lys". It matches the Rfam family "tRNA". Rfam says of the family: Transfer RNA (tRNA) molecules are approximately 80 nucleotides in length. Their secondary structure includes four short double-helical elements and three loops (D, anti-codon, and T loops). Further hydrogen bonds mediate the characteristic L-shaped molecular structure. tRNAs have two regions of fundamental functional importance: the anti-codon, which is responsible for specific mRNA codon recognition, and the 3' end, to which the tRNAs corresponding amino acid is attached (by aminoacyl-tRNA synthetases). tRNAs cope with the degeneracy of the genetic code in two manners: having more than one tRNA (with a specific anti-codon) for a particular amino acid; and 'wobble' base-pairing, i.e. permitting non-standard base-pairing at the 3rd anti-codon position. The record is from RNAcentral. Lineage: Eukaryota; Metazoa; Chordata; Actinopteri; Scombriformes; Chiasmodontidae.
CGCUAAGAAGCUAUACGGGUAAAGCAUUAGCCUUUUAAGCUAAACUAAGGUGAUUCCCAACCACCCUUAGCGU